Molecule: non-coding RNA, 40 nt
Filed under: Prorocentrum micans
Lineage: Eukaryota; Dinophyceae; Prorocentrales; Prorocentraceae
Source: RNAcentral
AUUUUUUUUUUUUUUUUUUUUUUUUUUUUUUUUUGUUUCC